AGUCGAGCGAUCUUCUUCGGAAGGGAGCGGCGGACGGGUGAGUAACGCGUGGGUAACCUGCCCUGUACACACGGAUAACAUACCGAAAGGUAUGCUAAUACGGGAUAACAUAAGAAAGUCGCAUGGAUUUCUUAUCAAAGCUUUUGCGGUACAGGAUGGACCCGCGUCUGAUUAGCUAGUUGGUAAGGUAACGGCUUACCAAGGCGACGAUCAGUAGCCGACCUGAGAGGGUGAUCGGCCACAUUGGAACUGAGACACGGUCCAAACUCCUACGGGAGGCAGCAGUGGGGAAUAUUGCACAAUGGGCGAAAGCCUGAUGCAGCAACGCCGCGUGAGCGAUGAAGGCCUUCGGGUCGUAAAGCUCUGUCCUCAAGGAAGAUAAUGACGGUACUUGAGGAGGAAGCCCCGGCUAACUACGUGCCAGCAGCCGCGGUAAUACGUAGGGGGCUAGCGUUAUCCGGAAUUACUGGGCGUAAAGGGUGCGUAGGCGGUCUUUCAAGUCAGAAGUGAAAGGCUACGGCUCAACCGUAGUAAGCUUUUGAAACUGUAAGACUUGAGUGCAGGAGAGGAGAGUGGAAUUCCUAGUGUAGCGGUGAAAUGCGUAGAUAUUAGGAGGACACCAGUUGCGAAGGCGGCUCUCUGGACUGUAACUGACGCUGAGGC
This 663-nucleotide ribosomal RNA is filed under the name uncultured Clostridium sp. RNAcentral's name for it is "bacterial SSU rRNA". It matches the Rfam family "Bacterial small subunit ribosomal RNA", at positions 60 to 752 of the family's 1533-position model. The record is from RNAcentral. Lineage: Bacteria; Bacillati; Bacillota; Clostridia; Eubacteriales; Clostridiaceae.